ACACUCCUACGGGAGGCAGCAGUGGGGAAUAUUGCACAAUGGGCGCAAGCCUGAUGCAGCCAUGCCGCGUGUAUGAAGAAGGCCUUCGGGUUGUAAAGUACUUUCAGCGGGGAGGAAGGCGAUAAGGUUAAUAACCUUGUUGAUUGACGUUACCCGCAGAAGAAGCACCGGCUAACUCCGUGCCAGCAGCCGCGGUAAUACGGAGGGUGCAAGCGUUAAUCGGAAUUACUGGGCGUAAAGCGCACGCAGGCGGUCUGUCAAGUCGGAUGUGAAAUCCCCGGGCUCAACCUGGGAACUGCAUUCGAAACUGGCAGGCUAGAGUCUUGUAGAGGGGGGUAGAAUUCCAGGUGUAGCGGUGAAAUGCGUAGAGAUCUGGAGGAAUACCGGUGGCGAAGGCGGCCCCCUGGACAAAGACUGACGCUCAGGUGCGAAAGCGUGGGGAGCAAACAGGAUUAGAAACCCCGGUAGUCCCA
This 473-nucleotide ribosomal RNA is filed under the name uncultured organism. RNAcentral's name for it is "partial 16S ribosomal RNA". It matches the Rfam family "Bacterial small subunit ribosomal RNA", at positions 333 to 797 of the family's 1533-position model. The record is from RNAcentral.